Molecule: ribosomal RNA, 889 nt
Filed under: Dothiorella viticola
Lineage: Eukaryota; Fungi; Ascomycota; Dothideomycetes; Botryosphaeriales; Botryosphaeriaceae
Description: LSU rRNA
Rfam family: Eukaryotic large subunit ribosomal RNA
Source: RNAcentral
AGCAUAUCAAUAAGCGGAGGAAAAGAAACCAACUGGGAUUGCCUUAGUAACGGCGAGUGAAGCGGCAAUAGCUCAAAUUUGAAAGCUGGCCCCUUUGGGGUCCGCGUUGUAAUUUGUAGAGGAUGAUUCGGCGAGGGCUCCCGUCUAAGUCCCCUGGAACGGGGCGUCAUAGAGGGUGAGAAUCCCGUAUGUGAUGGGUUGCCUUAGCCAUGUGAAUCUCCUUCGACGAGUCGAGUUGUUUGGGAAUGCAGCUCUAAAUGGGAGGUAAAUUUCUUCUAAAGCUAAAUACCGGCCAGAGACCGAUAGCGCACAAGUAGAGUGAUCGAAAGAUGAAAAGCACUUUGGAAAGAGAGUUAAAAAGUACGUGAAAUUGUUGAAAGGGAAGCGCUUGCAGCCAGACUUGUCCGCAGUUGCUCAGCCGGUCUCCUGACCGGCGUACUCUUCUGCGGCCAGGCCAGCAUCAGUUCGGGCGGUCGGAUAAAGACCCUAGGAAUGUAGCUCCUCUCGGGGAGUGUUAUAGCCUGGGGUGGAAUGCGGCCAGCCUGGACUGAGGAUCUCGCUUCGGCUAGGAUGCUGGCGUAAUGGCUGUAAGCGGCCCGUCUUGAAACACGGACCAAGGAGUCUAACAUCUAUGCGAGUGUUUGGGUGUCAAACCCAUACGCGUAAUGAAAGUGAACGGAGGUGGGAACCCUCACGGGUGCACCAUCGACCGAUCCUGAUGUCUUCGGAUGGAUUUGAGUAAGAGCAUAGCUGUUGGGACCCGAAAGAUGGUGAACUAUGCCUGAAUAGGGUGAAGCCAGAGGAAACUCUGGUGGAGGCUCGCAGCGGUUCUGACGUGCAAAUCGAUCGUCAAAUUUGGGUAUAGGGGCGAAAGACUAAUCGAACCAUC